This 446-nucleotide ribosomal RNA is filed under the name uncultured bacterium. Its description in RNAcentral is "partial 16S ribosomal RNA". It matches the Rfam family "Bacterial small subunit ribosomal RNA", at positions 338 to 795 of the family's 1533-position model. The record is from RNAcentral.
CCUACGGGGGGCAGCAGUCGAGAAUCAUUCACAAUGGGGGCAACCCUGAUGGUGCGACACCGCGUGGGGGAAUGAAGGUCUUCGGAUUGUAAACCCCUGUCAUGUGGGAGCAAAUUAAAAAGAUAGUACCACAAGAGGAAGCGACGGCUAACUCUGUGCCAGCAGCCGCGGUAAUACGGAGGUCUCAAGCGUUGUUCGGAAUCACUGGGCGAAAGGGGGGAGUAGGGGGUUGAGUAAGUCUGGUGUGAAAGGGGCGGGCUCAACCCGCGGACGGCCCAUGAUACUGCGAGACUAGAGUAAUGGAGGGGGAACCGGAAUUCUCGGUGUAGCAGUGAAAUGCGUAGAUAUAGGGAGGAACACUCGUGGCGAAGGCGGGUUGCUGGACAUUAACUGACGCUGAGGCACGAAGGCCAGGGGAGCGAAAGGGAUUAGAUACCCGUGUAGUC